RNAcentral lists this ribosomal RNA (1233 nucleotides) under Triticum aestivum (bread wheat). Its description in RNAcentral is "partial small subunit ribosomal RNA". Lineage: Eukaryota; Viridiplantae; Streptophyta; Magnoliopsida; Poales; Poaceae. The record is from RNAcentral.
AUGGAAAAUUUAGUAGUGUACUAUGGGAACGUCUUACGCGACGGUCCAUGCGGGGUGGAUGUGUCCUUCUGCGAGUCGACUACAGUAGUGGUGAGAGACAUGGUCAACGUGGGUUACGCAGCUGUUAGAAGGUGCAUCCGGACGGUCUUUGGCCCAGUGAUGCAGGAAAAAAAAAUGACAAUGGAGGCCUUCGUCGUUGACGGAGGAAAUGAUGGGACAGUUGCCCGUUGGGGUUUGCGGCCUGUCACAGGUGAUCGGUCGUGGGGGUCGUACAUGAGGUUUGCAAGCAAUCCCAAUAACUCAAUGUAUGGUCAGCCGAUGGUGUAUGUGGAGUUCAUUUCAGUCACUGAUGUUGACGGAUGCAGUAGCAGGGGUGGUGAGGUCGAGUUGGCCAUCACAUCAGCCCCUAGCAUCGGCCCAUCGGAACCGACGGGCGGCCAGCCUGUGUAUGACACAGGAUAUUGGUCGGUGGCCGUUGACAUGAGCGAACACGUGGAGGGAUUGCCGGAGGCGCUAGAUGAUGAUGAUCAUUCUUCUGCGUCUUCGGAGUCAAGCGGAGAAGAAGAUGUUCCUCCUCAGAGGGCGGUCGCGGCGGCACUGCAACCUGGGUUUUUACAGGAUAUGAGCAUCACCAACGAAUUUCACUCUACUUCUGGCCUAGGAGCGGGAAGCCUGGAGGUUGGGCAAGUUUUCCCAGAUAAGAAGUCUGCUUACCAGGCAAUGAGUAGCUAUGCAAUCGGCAUCCACCGCCAGCAUAGAGUGAAGCAGUCUGAUAAAAAAGAGUUGAAGGUCAUACGCAUCCACACCGCGAAAGGUUGCCGCGGAAGAGUUCUCGCUAGACUAAAGCCUGGGGUAUGUCAGUCAUGGCAUAUCACAAAAAUAGUGGAGCAUACCUGUGAGCAAACUGGGACUCUUUCAGAUCACUGCAAUGUGACAGCAAAAUUUGUGGCACAGACGAUGGAAACAAUUGUGCAGGGACGUCUCAACAUUAGUGUUAGGGCUCUGCAAAAAGAUGCAGAGGAUCUAAUUGGAUUCCCUGUUAGCUACAGCAAGGCUAGGCGUGCGAAGGAAAAUAUAUUCAAGAACUUGUAUGGUACCUAUGAGGAGGCAUAUUCUUAUGCCCCUAGAAUGCUUCAUCAAAUAGCAAGUGCUAAUAGGGGGACUCAAGUUUGGCGGAGAGAAUGUCCAAACCCAAUGAACCCGGGUGAGCUAAUCCUGGACCGCUUAUUCUAG